GAUGAAGAACGUAGCGAAAUGCGAUACGUAGUGUGAAUUGCAGAAUUCAGUGAAUCAUCGAAUCUUUGAACGCACAUUGCGCCCUUUGGUAUUCCAAAGGGCAUGCCUGUUCGAGCGUCAUUUGUACCCUCAAGCUUUGCUUGGUGUUGGGCGUCUUGUCUCCAGUCCGCUGGAGACUCGCCUUAAAGUCAUUGGCAGCCGGCCUACUGGUUUCGGAGCGCAGCACAAGUCGCUCUCUUUUCCAGCCAAGGUCAGCGUCCAACAAGCCUUUUUUCAACUUUUGACCUCGGAUCAGGUAGGGAUACCCGCUGAACUUAAGCAUAUCAAUAAGCGGAGGA
RNAcentral lists this unclassified non-coding RNA (338 nucleotides) under soil metagenome. RNAcentral describes it as "partial contains 5.8S ribosomal RNA, internal transcribed spacer 2, and large subunit ribosomal RNA". The stretch from base 1 to 120 matches the Rfam family "5.8S ribosomal RNA", at positions 35 to 154 of the family's 154-position model. The record is from RNAcentral.